AUUUAUAUAAUAUAAUUAGUAUAUUUGACUUCCAAUCAAAAAGUUUAAUUUUGUUUUAAUAUAAAUA
RNAcentral lists this transfer RNA (67 nucleotides) under Lamoria adaptella. RNAcentral describes it as "tRNA-Gly". The record is from RNAcentral. Lineage: Eukaryota; Metazoa; Arthropoda; Insecta; Lepidoptera; Pyralidae.